RNAcentral lists this ribosomal RNA (253 nucleotides) under uncultured bacterium. RNAcentral describes it as "partial 16S ribosomal RNA". It matches the Rfam family "Bacterial small subunit ribosomal RNA", at positions 524 to 776 of the family's 1533-position model. The record is from RNAcentral.
UACGAAGGGGGCUAGCGUCGUUCGGAAUUAUUGGGCUUAAAGGGUGCGUAGGCGGCGCUUUAAGUCGGGUGUGAAAUCCUUCGGCUCAACCGAAGAAUUGCGCCCGAUACUGGAGUGCUAGAGGGAGACAGGGGUGAGCGGAACUGAUGGUGGAGCGGUGAAAUGCGUUGAUAUCAUCAGGAACACCGGUGGCGAAAGCGGCUCACUGGGUCUCUUCUGACGCUGAGGCACGAAUGCCAGGGUAGCGAACGGG